Lontra canadensis (Northern American river otter) is the source of this 872-nucleotide long non-coding RNA. RefSeq lists it as uncharacterized. The transcript has 4 exons. Lineage: Eukaryota; Metazoa; Chordata; Mammalia; Carnivora; Mustelidae. The record is from RefSeq and is a predicted model, not a curated record.
UCAUAUCUAUGAUUGCAUGUGAUCCUCCCAACCAUGGUGAAAGGGACUGUGAGGACUCGGACUUGUCCCCAGAGAGAGGGAGCAACUGAAGACAGUUUCACAGAUGAUGAUAAAAUGGAACAAGUGUACAGCGAGGAAGCAGGAGGCCUGAGCUCCAGCCCCAGCUCUGUACUAACAAACAAGCUGUGUGUCCUUGAGCAAACCUCUUGCCCUCUCUGAGCCUCCAUGAGAGCAAGUUAUAGCGAUUACAGUGAGUUCCGCCUUACAGAAGCCAGACAUAAUAUACAGCAGAAUCAGCGGCUAUGUGCCGAUGCAUGGCCUCUGGGGCCAUCUGAGCUCCAUGUUGUGGAGGCAAUACGGAGUGGUCCAGGAGGAGCCAGGAAAGCAGGAGGGGAAGAAGCUGGGGCGUUUCCUUCUGACACCUCCCUGCUCCGACAACUGUCGCAUACCUCCUGACCUAUCAGGUCAGCCGGCACGCCCCACACUCAUGCCACGGACAGUACAUGAAAACCGCCUUCAAGAGGCAGCGGCACCCAGACCUCAGCCUCCAGCAAGGUCAGACGGAAGGAGUCCGACACGCCCGGCACCCUUCAAGGGAGUCGCCCAGCUCCAUGGCCGUCAGAGGAAGCCAUUUCUCAUCUUAGACAAGCAAUUCUGGAAGCUACCAGAGCUGUGGCUUAGAAUAUACUUAUGAGCCCCCAUCUGGCUUCUUUCCAUGUCUAAUGCAGGCAUUUUCCUCAUGUGCAGAAUUCCAGAUUUCUACAGUACCCAACGUUUCCCAGGCUUCUGUGACUCAAAACCAUGGUCACCGUGUCGCCAUAUCCUCAUCAUUGUGCAUGCUUUAUUAUUUAUCAAAUGUUUUCCUUUACACU